Molecule: long non-coding RNA, 739 nt
Organism: Brassica rapa (field mustard)
Lineage: Eukaryota; Viridiplantae; Streptophyta; Magnoliopsida; Brassicales; Brassicaceae
Source: RefSeq, a predicted model, not a curated record
AUCACAAAAAAUUAAAUUCAUUACAUAGAGCAUUUACCAAAAAAUUCAAUAUUUUCGUAGGGGUUAACACAUAUUUCGAGAAAAAUUCAAAAAUAUGAAAAAUAUUGUUUUAAUGCAUAGUUGCAUCAUUUACUAACAUUUGAUUAAGUAAGUUCAAAGAGGUUUGGAACAUUUGUUGUCUCCGUUUCUCUAGAAAAUAACGAUUUUAUAGUGGUUAAUCCACCAAUUUAGAGAGUAUUAUGAAAUUUUACUAAAUUAAUUGAGAAAAAAUUAAAAAGAUGCUCAUGUACCAUGAAAGAGAGUUUAAUAUACAUUAAUACAAAUGUAGAAUGUGUUUAUAAAUUUUAAAACAACACUAAAGAUCAUAGGGUUCACUAUAUAGAGCAUUUUACCGAAAUAUUCAAUAUUUUCGUAGGGGGUAAUACAUAGAUUUUGAGAAAAAUUCAAAAAUAUGAAAAAAAUGUUUUAUUGCAUAUUUGGAUCCUUCACUAAUAUAUAACAUAUGAUGAUGGCCAAAGAGGUUUGAAACAUUUGGUGUAUCCGUUUCUCUAGAAAAUAGCAAUUUUAUAGUGAUUAGUCCACCAAUUUAGAAAGUAUUAUGAAGUUUUACUAAAUUAAUUGAGAAAAAAUUAAAACGAUGCUCAUGUACCAUGAAAAAGUUUAAUAUACAUUAAUACAAAUGUAAAAUGUGUUUAUAAAUUUUAAAAACAACAAUAAAGAUCAUAUGGUUCACUAUAUA